This is a long non-coding RNA of Scophthalmus maximus (turbot), 529 nucleotides long. RefSeq lists it as uncharacterized. The record is from RefSeq and is a predicted model, not a curated record. The transcript is spliced from 5 exons. NCBI's taxonomy places the organism in Eukaryota, Metazoa, Chordata, Actinopteri, Pleuronectiformes, Scophthalmidae.
CUGCGUUUUGGCCCUGCGAUACGUUGGCGACCUGUCCAGGGUGAACACCACCCCCCACACACACAACCAUUAAGUGAUGAUAAUGGAUGGAUGAACUAAGCAGAGGCAGGAAGGGUGUGUGCGGCAGGCUGAACAAUGAACCUAAGCUGCUUUGACAAUGACACUCCCCCCCGACGGGAUCCGGCUACAGUUACGAGCCGACUGAAACACAUACAAGCGUCUACUCUGGACACAGCUGUGACCUCCGCACCAAGGCUUCCUCCGAUGAAAGCAUCGUCCCUGCCCUCCUCGUCUGUGCGCCUCCUCCCUCCGACCCCUUCCUUUCCCGUGAACAGAAAGCUGCCAUCAAGUGCAUCACACAGGUCUUUCCCUACAUAUCCUCCAGCCUCGUCACCAUGGUACCUGCAGCCUGCUCACUCUUCCUACAGCGAUGAUGUGUACAACAGCUGCUGACAGACGGACAAAACAUUCGCCGUUAUCAGCAGUUGACUGACCUUAUCCUUCAGAUAAAACCCUCGAUUAUGUCGAA